Molecule: non-coding RNA, 953 nt
Organism: Saccoglossus kowalevskii
Lineage: Eukaryota; Metazoa; Hemichordata; Enteropneusta; Harrimaniidae
Source: RefSeq, a predicted model, not a curated record
UGGAUCCAACAUGGCGCUCUUCGGAACCGGCAAGUUUCUCUCUGCGUUACCCAUUUCUCAAAUGUUGCAAGAAUAACUGGUUGUAAAUCACUUUGUACAUCCUCAAGAUAUGAAGCUAAAGCUGGAACCAAAGCAAAGAAGACCCUUGAAAAACCAGGUGUUAAGAACAUCGUCUUGGUUGAAGGGGUCAGAACGCCGUUUCUAAUGUCAGGAACAGAUUAUGCUAAUCUGAUGCCGCAUGAUCUGGCCAUCACUGCAUUAGAAGGUUUGAUCACUCGUACCAAGUUACCAAAAGAAAUUGUUGAGUAUAUUGUAUUUGGUACCGUGAUACAAGAGGUGAAGACAAGUAAUAUUGCAAGAGAGGCUGCUUUAAGUUCUGGGUUUUCCAUUAACACACCAUGUCAUACAGUUACUAUGGCAUGCAUUUCAUCAAAUCAAGCCAUCACAACAGCUAUGGGUAUGAUAGCCUUGGGACAGGCAGAUGUGACUAUUGCUGGUGGUGUAGAGUUUAUGUCAGAUGUACCUAUUAGACACAGUAGAAAAAUGAGAAAAUUCAUGCUGAAUCUUGGCAAGGCCAAGUCUGUUGGUGCGAAAUUAGCCCUCGCUGGAAAGUAUUUGAAUAUGAGUUGCCCUGGCACCUGAAUUACCAGCAGUGGCUGAAUUCUCUACUAAUGAAACCAUGGGUCAUUCUGGAGACAGAUUGUGUGCUGCAUCCUGUCAUAGAGAUAAUGGAAUCAGGCCAUCUCCUAUGGAAAGAUGGCUAAAUUGAAGCCAGCUUUUAUCAAGCCACACGGCACGGUCACUGCUGCCAAUGCCUCAUUCUUGACUGAUGGUGCAUCUGCAUGUUUAAUAAUGUCAGAAGAUAAAGCUAAAGCUAUGGGAUAUAAACCAAUUGCUUAUCUGAGAGACUUUGUGUAUGUAGCUAUUGAUCCUAAAGACCAGUUACUGCUUGG